GGGGUUGUAGCUCAGCGGUAGAGCACUUGCCUAGCACGUGCAAGGCCCUGGGUUCUAUCCUCAGCUCCA
Molecule: transfer RNA, 69 nt
Filed under: Ictidomys tridecemlineatus (thirteen-lined ground squirrel)
Lineage: Eukaryota; Metazoa; Chordata; Mammalia; Rodentia; Sciuridae
Description: Spermophilus tridecemlineatus (thirteen-lined ground squirrel) tRNA
Rfam family: tRNA
About the family: Transfer RNA (tRNA) molecules are approximately 80 nucleotides in length. Their secondary structure includes four short double-helical elements and three loops (D, anti-codon, and T loops).
Source: Rfam by way of RNAcentral